Molecule: unclassified non-coding RNA, 252 nt
Filed under: Hevea brasiliensis (rubber tree)
Lineage: Eukaryota; Viridiplantae; Streptophyta; Magnoliopsida; Malpighiales; Euphorbiaceae
Source: RNAcentral
AGCAGUGUCCCAUCCGUAAUCACCUGGAAAUUCCCCAGUUAAGUAGGAUGGUGUUUGCUCCGAAAAUGGGCCCAAGUACUUAGGACGGUCUUCUCCGUACCAGAUGCUUUGAGGAGCGCUUUUAACAGUGCGUCUCAUGGUAAUACGGCCUUCACCGAAGUUGCCAACUUUCCUAAUAAAUUCAUUUUGAGAUUUACCAACUGCUUGACCAACAAAGGCUGAUUGUUGAAUUGCACAAGUGGCCAUUUUUUU